AGUGAACGCUGGCGGUAGGCCUAACACAUGCAAGUCGAACGGCAGCACAGAGGAGCUUGCUCCUUGGGUGGCGAGUGGCGGACGGGUGAGGAAUACAUCGGACUCUACUUUUUCGUGGGGGAUAACGUAGGGAAACUUACGCUAAUACAGCAUACGACCUACGGGUGAAAGCAGGGGCACUUCGGACCUUGCGCGAUUGAAUGAGCCGAUGGCGGUUUAGCUAGUUGGCGGGGUAAAGGCCAACCAAGGCGCCGAUCCGUAGCUGGUCUGAGAGGAUGAUCAGCCACACUGGAACUGAGACACGGUCCAGACUCCUACGGGAGGCAGCAGUGGGGAAUAUUGGACAAUGGGCGCAAGCCUGAUCCAGCCAUACCGCGUGGGUGAAGAAGGCCUUCGGGUUGUAAAGCCCUUUUGUUGGGAAAGAAAUCCAGCCGGCUAAUACCUGGUUGGGAUGACGGUACCCAAAGAAUAAGCACCGGCUAACUUCGUGCCAGCAGCCGCCGUAA
RNAcentral lists this ribosomal RNA (506 nucleotides) under uncultured bacterium. RNAcentral describes it as "partial 16S ribosomal RNA". It matches the Rfam family "Bacterial small subunit ribosomal RNA", at positions 29 to 523 of the family's 1533-position model. The record is from RNAcentral.